This 296-nucleotide ribosomal RNA is filed under the name uncultured bacterium. RNAcentral describes it as "partial 16S ribosomal RNA". It matches the Rfam family "Bacterial small subunit ribosomal RNA", at positions 45 to 325 of the family's 1533-position model. The record is from RNAcentral.
UGCUUUACACAUGCAAGUUGAACGAUAAUUUUUCGUAGCAAACGGGUGAGUAAUUUAUAAAGAUAUUUACCUUUUAGUCUUGAAUAAAACAUAUUUAAUUAAAAAAAAAUCUUUAAUGUAUUUGUGUUAACACGGGAUAAAACAAAAAAAAAUUAAAAUAUAAAAAUAUAAGUAUUUUAAUUUGCUAAAAGAUAAUUUUAUAAAAAAUUAGGUUGUUGGUAAUUUAAUGAAAAGCAUACCAAGCCUACGAUUUUUAGUUGGUCUGAGAGGACGGUCAACCACACUGGAACUGAGAA